This 1006-nucleotide ribosomal RNA is filed under the name Microbacterium sp. RNAcentral describes it as "bacterial SSU rRNA". It matches the Rfam family "Bacterial small subunit ribosomal RNA", at positions 440 to 1455 of the family's 1533-position model. The record is from RNAcentral. Lineage: Bacteria; Bacillati; Actinomycetota; Actinomycetes; Micrococcales; Microbacteriaceae.
CAAGGAAGAAGCGAAAGUGACGGUACUUGCAGAAAAAGCGCCGGCUAACUACGUGCCAGCAGCCGCGGUAAUACGUAGGGCGCAAGCGUUAUCCGGAAUUAUUGGGCGUAAAGAGCUCGUAGGCGGUUUGUCGCGUCUGCUGUGAAAACCCGAGGCUCAACCUCGGGCCUGCAGUGGGUACGGGCAGACUAGAGUGCGGUAGGGGAGAUUGGAAUUCCUGGUGUAGCGGUGGAAUGCGCAGAUAUCAGGAGGAACACCGAUGGCGAAGGCAGAUCUCUGGGCCGUAACUGACGCUGAGGAGCGAAAGGGUGGGGAGCAAACAGGCUUAGAUACCCUGGUAGUCCACCCCGUAAACGUUGGGAACUAGUUGUGGGGUCCAUUCCACGGAUUCCGUGACGCAGCUAACGCAUUAAGUUCCCCGCCUGGGGAGUACGGCCGCAAGGCUAAAACUCAAAGGAAUUGACGGGGACCCGCACAAGCGGCGGAGCAUGCGGAUUAAUUCGAUGCAACGCGAAGAACCUUACCAAGGCUUGACAUACACGAGAACACCCUGGAAACAGGGGACUCUUUGGACACUCGUGAACAGGUGGUGCAUGGUUGUCGUCAGCUCGUGUCGUGAGAUGUUGGGUUAAGUCCCGCAACGAGCGCAACCCUCGUUCUAUGUUGCCAGCACGUAAUGGUGGGAACUCAUGGGAUACUGCCGGGGUCAACUCGGAGGAAGGUGGGGAUGACGUCAAAUCAUCAUGCCCCUUAUGUCUUGGGCUUCACGCAUGCUACAAUGGCCGGUACAAAGGGCUGCAAUACCGUGAGGUGGAGCGAAUCCCAAAAAGCCGGUCCCAGUUCGGAUUGAGGUCUGCAACUCGACCUCAUGAAGUCGGAGUCGCUAGUAAUCGCAGAUCAGCAACGCUGCGGUGAAUACGUUCCCGGGUCUUGUACACACCGCCCGUCAAGUCAUGAAAGUCGGUAACACCUGAAGCCGGUGGCCCAACCCUUGUGGAGGGAGCCG